This 253-nucleotide ribosomal RNA is filed under the name uncultured bacterium. RNAcentral's name for it is "partial 16S ribosomal RNA". It matches the Rfam family "Bacterial small subunit ribosomal RNA", at positions 524 to 776 of the family's 1533-position model. The record is from RNAcentral.
UACGAAGGGUGCAAACGUUGCUCGGAAUUAUUGGGCGUAAAGCGUCCGCAGGUGGCAGUUCAAGUCUGCUGUCAAAGACCGGGGCUUAACUUCGGAAAGGCAGUGGAAACUGAACAGCUAGAGUAUGGUAGGGGCAGAGGGAAUUCCUGGUGUAGCGGUGAAAUGCGUAGAGAUCAGGAAGAACAUCGGUGGCGAAGGCGCUCUGCUGGACCAUAACUGACACUCAGGGACGAAAGCUAGGGGAGCGAAUGGG